AGGCCACUACGCCGUAGUCCCCAGACGAUAUAGGGGAAUCCAAUCCAUUGGACCUGUCUGUCCUCAGUUACCAUGUACCUAUAGUCCCUCAUCCAUCUAAUAUCCCAGAGACCGUAUAUCGAGCUUGGUGCUGUCAGACCCAUACGGUUUCUACUCGAGUCUCGCUCUAAUCGGAUUCUCCCGGAGAACUCUUUCUCUCUCAACCCGAAUGACCCUGACCAGGGAUUUGUCUGAGCAAGAACACAUAGGAUAUUCCUCUCAUGACGCCGAGAGUGGAUGAUCCUCUAUCGACACUCAAUAGCCCUCGUAAGGUCGACUACC
Molecule: long non-coding RNA, 321 nt
Filed under: Musa acuminata (dwarf banana)
Lineage: Eukaryota; Viridiplantae; Streptophyta; Magnoliopsida; Zingiberales; Musaceae
Description: long non-coding RNA (MACU_LNC010441)
Source: RNAcentral